This 253-nucleotide ribosomal RNA is filed under the name uncultured bacterium. RNAcentral describes it as "partial 16S ribosomal RNA". It matches the Rfam family "Bacterial small subunit ribosomal RNA", at positions 524 to 776 of the family's 1533-position model. The record is from RNAcentral.
AACAGAGGGUGCAAACGUUGUUCGGAUUUACUGGGCGUAAAGCGCGUGUAGGCGGCUUGGCAAGUCGGAUGUGAAAGCCCACGGCUCAACCGUGGAAGCGCAUCCGAAACUGCUUCGCUCGAGUCUCGGAGAGGAAGGUGGAAUGCUUGGUGUAGAGGUGAAAUUCGUAGAUAUCAAGCAGAACACCGGUGGCGAAGGCGGGUCUCUGGGCCGAUACUGACGCUGAGGAGCGAAAGCGUGGGGAGCGAACAGG